GACGAACGCUGGCGGCGUGCCUAGUACAUGCAAGUCGAACGAACCGCGACUAGGUGCUUGCACUUGGUCAAGGUGAGUGGCGAACGGGUGAGUAACACGUGGGUAACCUACCUCAUAGUGGGGGAUAACAGUCGGAAACGACUGCUAAUACCGCAUAGGACAUAGGAUCACAUGAUCCAGUGAGGAAAGGUGGCGCAAGCUAUCGCUAAGAGAUGGACCCGCGGUGCAUUAGCUAGUUGGUAGGGUAAAGGCCUACCAAGGCGAUGAUGCAUAGCCGACCUGAGAGGGUGAUCGGCCACAUUGGGACUGAGACACGGCCCAAACUCCUACGGGAGGCAGCAGUAGGGAAUCUUCCGCAAUGGACGCAAGUCUGACGGAGCAACGCCGCGUGAGUGAAGAAGGUCUUCGGAUCGUAAAGCUCUGUUGUUAGAGAAGAACAGCGCAUAGAGUAACUGUUAUGCGUGUGACGGUAUCUAACCAGAAAGCCACGGCUAACUACGUG
Molecule: ribosomal RNA, 502 nt
Filed under: uncultured bacterium
Lineage: Bacteria
Description: partial 16S ribosomal RNA
Rfam family: Bacterial small subunit ribosomal RNA
Source: RNAcentral